This 460-nucleotide ribosomal RNA is filed under the name uncultured bacterium. Its description in RNAcentral is "partial 16S ribosomal RNA". It matches the Rfam family "Bacterial small subunit ribosomal RNA", at positions 338 to 795 of the family's 1533-position model. The record is from RNAcentral.
CCUACGGGUGGCAGCAGUGAGGAAUAUUGGUCAAUGGACGAGAGUCUGAACCAGCCAAGUAGCGUGAAGGAUGACUGCCCUAUGGGUUGUAAACUUCUUUUAUAUGGGAAUAAAAUGUUUCACGUGUGGGAUUUUGUAUGUACCAUAUGAAUAAGGAUCGGCUAACUCCGUGCCAGCAGCCGCGGUAAUACGGAGGAUCCGAGCGUUAUCCGGAUUUAUUGGGUUUAAAGGGAGCGUAGGUGGAUUGUUAAGUCAGUUGUGAAAGUUUGCGGCUCAACCGUAAAAUUGCAGUUGAAACUGGCAGUCUUGAGUACAGUAGAGGUGGGCGGAAUUCGUGGUGUAGCGGUGAAAUGCUUAGAUAUCACGAAGAACUCCGAUUGCGAAGGCAGUUCACUGGACUGCAACUGACACUGAGGCUCGAAAGUGUUGGUAUCAAACAGGAUUAGAUACCCCUGUAGUC